CCCUUAGAUGUCCUGGGCCGCACGCGCGCUACACUGAUGCAUUCAACGAGUUUCUUCCUGGUCCGAGAGGAAUGGGUAACCUUUUGAAAGUGCAUCGUGAUAGGGAUAGACUAUUGCAAUUAUUGGUCUUCAACGAGGAAUUCCUAGUAGACGUAGUUCAUCAGACUGCAUCGAUUACGUCCCUGCCCUUUGUACACACCGCCCGUCGCUCCUACCGAUUGAGUGGUCCGGUGAGGCUUUGGGAUCUGAGCGGAAAGAGCGUUUCGCUGUUUCUGCCCGGAAAACUCAGUCGAACCUUAUCAUUUAGAGGAAGGAGAAGUCGUAACA
This 327-nucleotide ribosomal RNA is filed under the name uncultured eukaryote. RNAcentral describes it as "partial 18S ribosomal RNA". It matches the Rfam family "Eukaryotic small subunit ribosomal RNA", at positions 1470 to 1796 of the family's 1831-position model. The record is from RNAcentral.